AUUUUUUUUUUAAAAAGUCUAUCCCAAUCCUUGGGAUUUUUUAAAAAGUCUAUCCCACUUCUUGGGAUUAAGGUCCUUGAGGGAUCGACUUUUAUCCUUGAGAGAGAAAAAGUCGAUCCCUGGUGCAUUUGGAGGAUUCUUUGGAAGUCGAUGCCUGAAAGCCUGGCUCCUUGAGGGAUCGACUUUUUUCCUUGGAAGAAAAAGUCGAUCUUCUGAAAAGUUGAUCCCUUGCUGGCUGAUUUCCUCGCAAGACUCCCUAGCUGGCGACUUGGAAAAAAAGUCGAUCACUUUUUUCGAAAAAGUCGAGGAGCUUUUGUCGUGAGUAUAUUUGAACCACAGACGGCGCCAACUGAUGGGGGUGAAACCCGACCAGUACUCCAAGACGCGCAAGCAAGCGCCAAGCGGGGAACUCCGCGGGAAACCGGACUGGAACUCAAGUGCGCAGAGCUCUGCUUUGCUAGGAAUCCUUUCGCUCCAAAUGACCUGCCUUUAAUGAGUGGGGGGUGCCCUCUAUUUAUAGGGGUUCUUAUGGGGGC
This 536-nucleotide long non-coding RNA is filed under the name Zostera marina. Its description in RNAcentral is "long non-coding RNA (ZMAR_LNC005418)". The record is from RNAcentral. Lineage: Eukaryota; Viridiplantae; Streptophyta; Magnoliopsida; Alismatales; Zosteraceae.